GAUGAAGAACGCAGCAAAAUGCGAUACGUAAUGUGAAUUGCAGAAUUCAGUGAAUCAUCGAGUCUUUGAACGCACAUUGCGCCCCUUGGUAUUCCGGGGGGCAUGCCUGUCCGAGCGUCAUUGCUGCCCUCAAGCACGGCUUGUGUGUUGGGCCUCCGUCCUCCUCCCGGGGGACGGGCCCGAAAGGCAGCGGCGGCACCGCGUCCGGUCCUCGAGCGUAUGGGGCUUCGUCACCCGCUCUUGUAGGCCCGGCCGGCGCUUGCCGACACAUCAAUCUUUUUUCCAGGUUGACCUCGGAUCAGGUAGGGAUACCCGCUGAACUUAAGCAUAUCAAUAAGCGGAGGA
RNAcentral lists this unclassified non-coding RNA (345 nucleotides) under soil metagenome. RNAcentral's name for it is "partial contains 5.8S ribosomal RNA, internal transcribed spacer 2, and large subunit ribosomal RNA". The stretch from base 1 to 120 matches the Rfam family "5.8S ribosomal RNA", at positions 35 to 154 of the family's 154-position model. The record is from RNAcentral.